Molecule: long non-coding RNA, 2316 nt
Organism: Aedes albopictus (Asian tiger mosquito)
Lineage: Eukaryota; Metazoa; Arthropoda; Insecta; Diptera; Culicidae
Exons: 3
Source: RefSeq, a predicted model, not a curated record
GCAACAGAUGGCGCUAGUGAGCAGGAGUUUUUCAAUUUUAAAAUGUAUGGAGAAAUUAAUAAAAAUUCGUUUUUUGACUAAUUAAACAAUUUAUUGGAAAAAAUAUUUGGUACAUGUUGUAAGUUAUAAUGAUAGCAAUCAACGAUACCAAAUAUUUCUUGAGAAAAUUUCGAAAUAUUUGAAAUAUUUGGAAAAAUGUUCAAAUCUCCAUACAUUAUUUCGACCGAAAACUUUUGCCUCGACGUUGGGUGAUCUUCGUUUGCCUAUACAUGGCAUCCCGAAAAUACAUGGAUUCAUGUUUACCCAUCUGUCAAUGCGACUGGUAAAAAAAUAAAAAAAAAGUUUGGAGCUGUGUGGAGCGGCACCGCGGGAGCAAAAUCUUUGGCGAUUUGCGGUGUACUUCCCUCUACCGCAGCGGUCAGCAGCCGUCGUGAGCCGGCUUGAAAAUAUUGUGUUUUCGGUAGAAGAGAAACCCGCUGCAGUGUCGCUGCACACUUCGUGUUGGUAAACAUUGCUAGAUUCGGUAUCCAGCGAAGAAGAUUCGGCAGCCAGAAAGCUGGAUUUUUGUUAUCCCAUGCCCAAAAGUGUAGUUAAAGUGCAAUGCCGGUUCCAUGAUAGCUAUAUUGAUGCAGUUUGCUAACGAGCUUGGACAAAACGAGGUACAGUUUGAGAUGCUGUUCGUGAUAUUGGACCGGUCGCGGUGGUGUACUUUUUUGGCGGUGUUUUCAUUCACCUGAUGGAGCGGCGUAUCCCGACAUCGCUUACAAUCUGGCCUUCGGGCAUGCGAGGCUAAUGGCGAACAGUUACUGGUUCUUUUACAAUCUCCUGACUGCCCGGGACUGCCGAUGUCGAUGUGCUUUAAGAAGUAUGAAUCACGUGGAGCAUCUUCGUCUGGAAUGGGAAGAUUUACCUCAUGGUGAGAUUCCUCCUGACCAUGGGUCGCCAUCCGGUCGCGGGACACUUCAUCUCCGCGCACCAAAGGAAUCGAAACGUACUCCUAGUACGGCCCCUUGGCUGGAUUAAUACCGUUAACGUUAGGUAUCACAACGAGCAUCGCGAUUUCCAGACCGUCCCCGAUUGGUGCCUCCCCGAAGUGAAACGGAUUGCACCAGAAUCUACGAUACCAUCCCGCAGUACAUUAGCUGAACCAGGGCCUUGUACGACUUUAUCGUAGAUCCCACCAUCCACCCGGAUCAAGCGGAAGACGAGGGGACUGGAUUGAUGAAACCCUCCUUCACCGGGGACCUUGGCACGUCGAGGCUUCGUCAUGGCUAAUCAAUAUUUAUCUCUCCGGUUAUCCAUUCCACAAACAAUUCACAGGCAUCCCCAUCCUGGCCAUCUAUAGUAUUGAACAAAAUUGCAAAAUUUCUUAUUUUAUUGUUAUAUUUGUUGAUAAGUAAUAAAAAGAUGCUUAGGGGGUUGGGGCUCUAUAAAAAAUCCGAAAAUCCGAGGGUAGGUUCACCAUAUUCUCCAAAGAUAAAGCGUUCGAAUAUUUCAUAAGUUAUUCUUGAAUUCAAUUUUAAGUUAAAAGCUGUGAGGUGGCGCAUUCUAUGACUAAUUGUUAAACAUCCACUUACUCACAAAAUUUAGAUAUCGUGAUAAUAGUGAUCAUAAGUGAUUUUUUUUUCGUUUACCCACAAAUAACCAAAACUGGUUCACCAAGUUCUCUAAAGUUGCGAGGUGACGCAUAUUCUUUCUUUUCUUCUAAAGCUUUAAAUUAGUUUAUAAGCGAUUCUUGCAUUUAAUGACAAAUCACUUAACUGGUUCACCAAGUGCUCUAAGGUUGCGAGAUGACGCAUAUUCUUUCUUUUCUUCUAAAACUUUAAAUGAGUUUAUUAGUGAUUCUUGCAUUUAAUUACAAAUCACUUGAACUGGUUCACCAAGUUCUCUAAGGUUGCGAGGUGACGCAUAUUCUUUCUUUUCUUCUAAAACUUUAAAUUAGUUUAUUAGUGAUUCUUGCAUUCAAUCACAAAUUACUAAAACUGGUUUACUAAGUUCUCUAAGGCGAGGUGACGCAUAUGCUUUCUUUUCUUCUAAAACUUUGAAUUAGUUUAUUAGUGAUUCUUGCAUUUAAUCACAAAUCACUUGAACUGGUUCACCAAGUUCUCUAAGGUUGCGAGGUGACGCAUAUUCUUUCUUUUCUUCUAAAACUUUAAAUUAGUUUAUUAGUGAUUCUUGCAUUUAAUCACAAAUCACUUAAACUGGUUCACCAAGUUCUUUAAGGUUGCGAGGUGACGCUUAUUAUUUCUUUUCUUCUAAAACUUUAAAUUAGUUUAUAAGCGAUUCUUGCAUUUAAUGACAAAUCACUUAAACUGG